UGGUGGUUCAAAUUGAAUAUCAUCCAGUUUCAUCCUAAAUAUAGUAUAUUUAAUCUUUUUUUCUCCACAAAGGAAAAUGUAGUGAGAAGCAUGCUUUUUUUUUUUUUUUCCUCACACUCUUUUUUUGGUUAAUUUAAACAUGCAAUUUGGUCAAUUUUUACUCUUGCUUGCAAGGUUAACUAUAGGUCAGCACUGUUUGUUUCUUUAAUAUUGACUUAACUCUGACUGCUGUUGACAUUUUUUAAGGUCUAUUUCUUUUAAUACUACAUAAUUUAAGGGGAAAAAUCAAGACUAAUUAGUUGUUAAUGAGAAACACGUAUAAUGAGAAACAAAUGUAACAUUAAUGUCAUGUACAAUGUAUAUCUGUGUGGUUUAAAAGGUAGGAACAUGGCCAUUAUUCAAAAUUAGGGAAUAAAAUCAUUGUAAUAAUUACUAGCAGAUGUGUUGUAACUUGUCUUGCAAGUCAAAAUUUCUUUAGACGAUAUGUUGCAGUGUUUUAUAGUAAGCAUUUGAUAUGGUUUUUUGGAAGGGUUUAUACAUUUUCUUUUAAUCACAAUCUCUUUUAAUCUAGCUGCCUGGCAUCUAUAGAAGAUUGGAAAAGAUUUAAGCUACUGUUUUCUCUUCUGUACAACUUUAUUAUCCCUCACAGGUCUUGAAAUAUAUGGCCUAUAAAAUCAUUCUCUUUGGGAAAGAAUUGCAGACAAGUCAUCAUCCUUUGAGGAUAAGUUCGAUUAAAAGGGUUACUGAAUUUCUUCUGUGGUGUAUUUCAUAAAAGAGAAGAUGCUGAUAAGAUCCCGUUUAAAUGGCUUGCUAAUACCAGAAGCAGAUCAUUUAAAAUGGACCUUACAUCUUUAUAGGAUGUUAGAAAUGAAGACAUUACCUCAAAAUGUAGGUCCAUUUAUGAACUAUAAGAAGGAUUCAGUAUGUGUCAUCAUUUUCAUAAAAGGAAGGAAAUCAGCAAAGUAGCCCAACUCUCUGGGGAAGAUGCAAUGUCAACAAUUAGGAAGAAUGUAAUUUAUCUUGUGCCAAAGAGGUCCAACAGUGAAUCCCAAUCAGACAAAUACCACUAAAAUGAUGACAAACACAAAAAAAUCAUCAACCUGUAAGGCAAAAGAGGAUGGGUGGAACUGAGGAGGACAGAUAAUAAAUAGCAGGUAAAUGGAGAUCAAUAUGAUAUUUUAAAAUAUAGGUAAAAUGGACAAGUGGCAACUCACUAAGCAAACUAGAAAAAUCUGAAAUUUUAGUUCACAUUUUGUGGAGGAAAUCAAUCAAGAAAUCAUCCUAUUUAUCUCACAGAAACUAGGGAUUGACAAUAAUGGGUAUAUUGGAAUAUGGGCUAUAGUGG
RNAcentral lists this long non-coding RNA (1345 nucleotides) under Canis lupus familiaris (dog). Its description in RNAcentral is "lncRNA (ENSCAFG00845015911.1)". Lineage: Eukaryota; Metazoa; Chordata; Mammalia; Carnivora; Canidae. The record is from RNAcentral.